AUUGAACGCUGGCGGCAUGCUUUACACAUGCAAGUCGGACGGCAGCACAGAGAAGCUUGCUUCUUGGGUGGCGAGUGGCGAACGGGUGAGUAACAUAUCGGAACGUACCGAGCAGUGGGGGAUAACUAAUCGAAAGAUUAGCUAAUACCGCAUAUCUUCUGAGGAAGAAAGCAGGGGACCAUUUGGCCUUGCGCUGUUUGAGCGGCCGAUAUCUGAUUAGCUAGUUGGUGGGGUAAAGGCCUACCAAGGCGACGAUCAGUAGCGGGUCUGAGAGGAUGAUCCGCCACACUGGGACUGAGACACGGCCCAGACUCCUACGGGAAGCAGCAGUGGGGAAUUUUGGACAAUGGGCGCAAGCCUGAUCCAGCCAUGCCGCGUGUCUGAAGAAGGCCUUCGGGUUGUAAAGGACUUUUGUCAGGGAAGAAAAGGGCGGGGUUAAUACCCCUGUCUGAUGACGGUACCUGAAGAAUAAGCACCGGCUAACUACGUG
RNAcentral lists this ribosomal RNA (490 nucleotides) under uncultured bacterium. Its description in RNAcentral is "partial 16S ribosomal RNA". It matches the Rfam family "Bacterial small subunit ribosomal RNA", at positions 30 to 507 of the family's 1533-position model. The record is from RNAcentral.